RNAcentral lists this ribosomal RNA (301 nucleotides) under uncultured bacterium. RNAcentral describes it as "partial 16S ribosomal RNA". It matches the Rfam family "Bacterial small subunit ribosomal RNA", at positions 509 to 807 of the family's 1533-position model. The record is from RNAcentral.
CAGUAGCCGCGGGAAUACGUAGGGUGCAAGCGUUAAUCGGAAUUACUGGGCGUAAAGCGUGCGCAGGCGGUUCGUUAAGGCAGAUGUGAAAUCCCCGGGCUUAACCUGGGAACUGCAUUUGUGACUGGCGGGCUAGAGUAUGGCAGAGGGGGGUAGAACUCCACGUGUAGCAGUGAAAUGCGUAGAGAUGUGGAGGAAUACCGAUGGCGAAGGCAGCCCCCUGGGCCAAUACUGACGCCCAUGCACGAAAGCGUGGGGAGCAAACAGGAUUAGAUACCCCGGUAGUCCCUGUCUCUUAUAC